RNAcentral lists this ribosomal RNA (1237 nucleotides) under metagenome. Its description in RNAcentral is "bacterial LSU rRNA". It matches the Rfam family "Bacterial large subunit ribosomal RNA", at positions 1564 to 2808 of the family's 2925-position model. The record is from RNAcentral.
UGAGUACGAGAUGCUACGGCAUCGAAGCAGUGUAUGUCAUACUUCCAAGAAAAGCUCGCAAUGUAAUAAACAAAUAAUGCCUGUACCAUAACCGACACAGGUGGGUAGGUAGAGUAUACUAAGGGGCGCGAGAUAACUCUCUCUAAGGAACUCGGCAAAAUGACUCCGUAACUUCGGGAGAAGGAGUGCCUUAUUUUUAUAAGGUUGCAAUAACAAGAUCCAAGCAACUGUUUACCAAAAACACAGGUCUCCGCUAAGUCGUAAGACGAUGUAUGGGGGCUGACGCCUGCCCAGUGCCAGAAGGUUAAAGAAGUUGGUUAGCAUUAGCGAAGCUGAUAACUGAAGCCCUGGUGAACGGCGGCCGUAACAAUAACGGUCCUAAGGUAGCGAAAUUCCUUGUCGGGUAAGUUCCGACCCGCACGAAAGGCGUAAUGAUUUGGAUACUGUCUCGGAGAGGGGCUCGGUGAAAUAGACUUGUCUGUGAAGAUGCGGACUACCUGCACCUGGACAGAAAGACCCUAUGAAGCUUUACUGUAACUUGAGAUUGAAAUUGGACUUUAUCUGCGCAGUAUAGGUGGGAGACAUUGAUAAUAUUCUUGCGGGAAUAUUGGAGUCAUCAGUGAGAUACCACUCUUAUAAUGUUAGAUUUCUAACUUUGUAUCAUUAUCUGGUCAAAGAACAGUUUCAGGCGGGCAGUUUGACUGGGGCGGUCGCCUCCCAAACGGUAACGGAGGCGCACAAAGGUUUCCUCUGAACGUGUAGAAAUCGUAUCUAGAGUGUAAAGGCAUAAGGAAGCUUGACUGUGAGACCUACAAGUCGAGCAGGGACGAAAGUCGGUCUUAGUGAUCUGACGGUGCUGAGUGGAAAGGCCGUCACUCAACGGAUAAAAGUUACUCUAAGGAUAACAGGCUGAUCUCCCCCAAGAGUUCACAUCGACGGGGAGGUUUGGCACCUCGAUGUCGGCUCAUCGCAUCCUGGGGCGGUAGUACGUCCCAAGGGUUGGGCUGUUCGCCCAUGAAAGCGGUACGCGAGCUGGGUUCAGAACGUCGUGAGACAGUUCGGUCCAUAUCCGGUGUAGGCGUUAGAAUAUUGAGAGGAGCCUUCUUUAGUACGAGAGGACCGAGAAGGACAUACCUCUGGUGUACCAGUUAUCGUGUCAACGGUAAACGCUGGGUAGCUAUGUAUGGAGAGGAUAACCGCUGAAAGCAUCUAAGUGGGAAGCCCACCUCAAGAUAAG